ACGAGGGGUGCAAGCGUUGUUCGGAAUCAUUGGGCGUAAAGCGGGUGUAGGUGGUCAUAUAAGUCAGAAGUGAAAGCCCAGGGCUCAACCUUGGAAGUGCUUUUGAUACUGUAUGACUUGAGUGUAAGAGAGGUUACUAGAAUUCCUGGUGUAGCGGUGAAAUGCGUAGAGAUCAGGAGGAACACCGGUGGCGAAGGCGAGUAACUGGCUUAACACUGACACUCAGGCCCGAAAGCGUGGGGAGCAAACGG
This 251-nucleotide ribosomal RNA is filed under the name uncultured prokaryote. RNAcentral describes it as "partial 16S ribosomal RNA". It matches the Rfam family "Bacterial small subunit ribosomal RNA", at positions 525 to 775 of the family's 1533-position model. The record is from RNAcentral.